GAUGAACGCUGGCGGCGUGCCUAAUACAUGCAAGUCGAGCGAACAGACGAGGAGCUUACUCCUCUGACGUUAGCGGCGGACGGGUGAGUAACACGUGGAUAACCUACCUAUAAGACUGGGAUAACUUCGGGAAACCGGAGCUAAUACCGGAUAACAUGUUGAACCGCAUGGUUCAACAGUGAAAGACGGUCUUGCUGUCACUUAUAGAUGGAUCCGCGUCGCAUUAGCUAGUUGGUAAGGUAACGGCUUACCAAGGCAACGAUGCGUAGCCGACCUGAGAGGGUGAUCGGCCACACUGGAACUGAGACACGGUCCAGACUCCUACGGGAGGCAGCAGUAGGGAAUCUUCCGCAAUGGGCGAAAGCCUGACGGAGCAACGCCGCGUGAGUGAAGAAGGUCUUCGGAUCGUAAAACUCUGUUAUUAGGGAAGAACAAAUGUGUAAGUAACUAUGCACGUCUUGACGGUACCUAAUCAGAAAGCCACGGCCAACUACGUG
RNAcentral lists this ribosomal RNA (497 nucleotides) under uncultured bacterium. Its description in RNAcentral is "partial 16S ribosomal RNA". It matches the Rfam family "Bacterial small subunit ribosomal RNA", at positions 28 to 507 of the family's 1533-position model. The record is from RNAcentral.